CAACCAGCACCUCAAGUGGUCAGGAUGAUUAUUGGGCCUAAAGCAUCCGUAGCCUGCUCUGUAAGUUUUCGGUUAAAUCUGUACGCUCAACGUACAGGCUGCCGGGAAUACUGCAGAGCUAGGGAGUGGGAGAGGUAGACGGUACUCGGGAGGAAGUGGUAAAAUGCUUUGAUCUCUCGAUGACCACCUGUGGCGAAGGCGGUCUACCAGAACACGUCCGACGGUGAGGGAUGAAAGCUGGGGGAGCAAACCGGAUUAGAAACCCCGGUAGUCC
This 274-nucleotide ribosomal RNA is filed under the name uncultured bacterium. RNAcentral's name for it is "partial 16S ribosomal RNA". It matches the Rfam family "Archaeal small subunit ribosomal RNA", at positions 473 to 747 of the family's 1478-position model. The record is from RNAcentral.